GAUGAACGCUGGCGGCGUGCUUAACACAUGCAAGUCGAACGGAAAGGCCCUGCUUGCAGGGUACUCGAGUGGCGAACGGGUGAGUAACACGUGGGUGAUCUGCCCUGUACUUUGGGAUAAGCCUGGGAAACUGGGUCUAAUACCGAAUAUGACAAUUGUUUGGAUGCGAUUGCGGAAAGCUUUUGCGGUAUGGGAUGAGCUCGCGGCCUAUCAGCUUGUUGGUGGGGUAAUGGCCUACCAAGGCGUCGACGGGUAGCCGGCCUGAGAGGGUGUACGGCCACAUUGGGACUGAGAUACGGCCCAGACUCCUACGGGAGGCAGCAGUGGGGAAUAUUGCACAAUGGGCGCAAGCCUGAUGCAGCGACGCCGCGUGGGGGAUGACGGCCUUCGGGUUGUAAACUCCUUUCGCAACCGACGAAGCCUUUUGGUGACGGUAGGUUGAGAAGAAGCACCGGCUAACUACGUG
RNAcentral lists this ribosomal RNA (466 nucleotides) under uncultured bacterium. RNAcentral describes it as "partial 16S ribosomal RNA". It matches the Rfam family "Bacterial small subunit ribosomal RNA", at positions 28 to 507 of the family's 1533-position model. The record is from RNAcentral.